UGGGGAAUUUUGGACAAUGGGGGAAACCCUGAUCCAGCCAUCCCGCGUGUGCGAUGAAGGCCUUCGGGUUGUAAAGCACAUUUGGCAGGAAAGAAACGUCAUGGGUUAAUACCCCGUGAAACUGACGGUACCUGCAGAAUAAGCACCGGCUAACUACGUGCCAGCAGCCGCGGUAAUACGUAGGGUGCAAGCGUUAAUCGGAAUUACUGGGCGUAAAGCGUGCGCAGGCGGUUCGGAAAGAAAGAUGUGAAAUCCCAGAGCUCAACUUUGGAACUGCAUUUUUAACUACCGGGCUAGAGUGUGUCAGAGGGAGGUGGAAUUCCGCGUGUAGCAGUGAAAUGCGUAGAUAUGCGGAGGAACACCGAUGGCGAAGGCAGCCUCCUGGGAUAACACUGACGCUCAUGCACGAAAGCGUGGGGAGCAAACAGG
RNAcentral lists this ribosomal RNA (429 nucleotides) under Acidobacteriota bacterium. RNAcentral describes it as "Acidobacteria bacterium partial 16S ribosomal RNA". It matches the Rfam family "Bacterial small subunit ribosomal RNA", at positions 355 to 776 of the family's 1533-position model. The record is from RNAcentral. Lineage: Bacteria; Pseudomonadati; Acidobacteriota.